This 218-nucleotide ribosomal RNA is filed under the name Succiniclasticum ruminis. Its description in RNAcentral is "16S rRNA. Bacterial SSU". It matches the Rfam family "Bacterial small subunit ribosomal RNA", at positions 1 to 216 of the family's 1533-position model. Lineage: Bacteria; Bacillati; Bacillota; Negativicutes; Acidaminococcales; Acidaminococcaceae. The record is from RNAcentral.
UUAUUAUGGAGAGUUUGAUCCUGGCUCAGGACGAACGCUGGCGGCGUGCCUAACACAUGCAAGUCGAACGGGGAUUUUGUUUCGGCAGAAUCCUAGUGGCGAACGGGUGAGUAACGCGUAGGCAACCUGCCCUCCGGCCGGGGACAACACUCCGAAAGGGGUGCUAAUACCGGAUACGAAGUCUGUGCCGCAUGGUACGGAUUUGAAAGAUGGCCUCU